GGAUUGAGACAUUUGGACCAACCGUGAGUGAUCAACCAUUGGAGCAAGCUAUGGAGCUUGAAUAGCUCAUUGGAAUUGGUGUAUGUUUGUAAAAGUUGAUUGCUGAAACUGUUGGUGAAGAACAAAGGUUGACUGAAGCAUUGAGGUAAGGAUGCUGCAGGAGCCUCUGGUGGCAAGUGGCCAUAUCUGGAUUAUGCAUGAGAUGUGGCAUUCCUUUUGAGUUUAUGCAUGCCUUUUGUAGUUGACAUGUAUAGGAGUUUAUUUUGAAAGCCCUUGGUCAUUUGUAUGCCUUGAUUCAUUGAAUGAACUUAGCCUAUGCUCAUGCCUUUGGUUACACCUUUUGUUGAUGGGAGCCAAGGGAAUGAUCAUAGUGUUUUGUAAGCUAAGUUCUAUGA
This is a long non-coding RNA of Gastrolobium bilobum, 395 nucleotides long. RefSeq lists it as uncharacterized. The transcript has 3 exons. Lineage: Eukaryota; Viridiplantae; Streptophyta; Magnoliopsida; Fabales; Fabaceae. The record is from RefSeq and is a predicted model, not a curated record.